This 383-nucleotide unclassified non-coding RNA is filed under the name Hevea brasiliensis (rubber tree). The record is from RNAcentral. Lineage: Eukaryota; Viridiplantae; Streptophyta; Magnoliopsida; Malpighiales; Euphorbiaceae.
AGAGAAGGGUGGAACCACAGCCUCAGAGAGUUCAGGAUAGACCAAAGUAUACCGACAGGACCCGCUAUGUGAGACGCAGAGAAAACAUGAGGUGAUGCAUUUGAGACGUUGAGAAAAUGUGCAUAUAGUGCAUAUAGGACUAAAGGGGAAGGGAAUCUCAAAUAUCUGCGAAGGGCCAAUAGGAGAACUUUACAGCAAUUAGAAACAGUAAACUGAAGUUAUUUGCUUUGUAAAAGUCAUGUUCAGUAGGAUGUUAGCUUUUUGUUGUUAAUGAACAUGGAUAUUAUCUAUAUAUGGCUGUCUUCCUAGUUAAUGUUUAUUGAGUUUGUUUAGUCGUAAAACGGGUGCACAAUUGAAGUUUAUAAGAACUUUGAGUUAUUCUU